UACAGCAGGCCAACCUCACCAUGGCACAUUUCACUGACUUUGACUUAUUAAAGUGUGAAGUAUGUUUAAAAUGUUGCUUAAAAUACGCUUAUUUGAAAGAAAAUGCCUCUAUUCAAGACCACGCAGCUGAUUUCUUUAAAAGAUAGACAGGAACAUGGGCAGGAUGUUUAUACAGCAAAAUGUAAACAUUUUCCCUGGCCUUCUUUAAAUAAAAAAUCAAGCAAAAAGCCCCGCUAGAUCAGCUCAUACUCAAUCUGAUGCAUUAUGUCCGUUUUAGACAGCUCCUUGUGUAUGGAUAGGACUUUUCAACGUAAAUGCAGAAAGGGAUUUCAAUCAUGUAUAAUUAUUAUGUUCACACAGGAGAACUGAGGGGAAGAGCGCUCUGAGCCUAGCCGAACACUGAGCACUGAAACUCGGCUGAGGACUUUAGAUCGACGCCCACCAAACUCUCUCCCCUCAGAAUGGUGCUCGAAUCAAGCCCUCUGUGAUGGAGAGAAGGUUUUCCAGUGAUGGCAACAGUUCCUAUGACAACCAGACCUCCACCGGGGGAUUGCGUCUGUCAGACAGUGCUAAUGAUAAUUGAGAGGCUGGAGUGGGCAGGCGUGUGGGUUUGGCCACAGGAAGACAUGAAUUCCUCAGAGAACAGAGGGUGUCAGGGCCCAGAACACGACUUGGGGGGGAGAGACAUACUGGACCUUGUAACGUCUAAUAAUCCUCCGAGUUGACCCCUGACCCCGGGCCUGUGUUUGUAUCAGGUCAUCGACGUGAGAAAUCGGAAUGAGUCACUCCAGCUGUGUGUUUACCUUCUGGAGUCACGCAAGGAAGGAAAUAAGGCACGGUCUUCUAAAAGUGGCGGUGUGAGAGAGAAUAGCAGCAGUAUUAGAUCAGAGCCCUGAUUCAUCUCACUGUGACUGGCCUCUUGUCCCGUUACACUGGGUUUAUUUAGCCUAUUCACUACUGUAGGGAGACUAGCUACAGAUCAGCUAAAACAGGGAGUCAGUCUACAAUAUAGCUGUAUGAAAACAUAAGGUAUGAGAUUAAUAGUGUAAUUCUGUAAUUGAAGUCUGAUUCACUCAUUGAGUGAAAUGAUCCGUGUACUGCAGUAUGAGGGUACAGCUUGUUUUUGCUAUCACUGUGUAAUAUGUUGCUAAUAGUCCGAUCGUGUGUUAUUUUUGUCAUAAUAUUCUGCUGAGUGUGUUGCAGUUGUUCUAGUGUUUUGCCCAAUGAAAUUAGGAGAGAUUCAGUCAUUUCCUUUCUGUCUCAUGCAACAAUCAUAAAUGAUAUGUGAAUGUGAUUUUUCUGUGUAAUAAUAAUUUAUUGCAAUACAUUUCUGACUCUCCCGGAUACAGAUUAUAUCUGGAAGAUCCCUUGUAAUACGCUUUAGAGGAGAAAUCGCUGCAUUCCCAAAUACAUAGUUUUUAUCUUGAACAUGAAACUGGAAUGAGUAUGGAACUGUGGCCAACGCCUGUGAUUAAAAUACAAUGUCCGGGCCUACCAUCACGCUGUAUGUAGCCUUCCACACCGUGGGCUUGUGUGAUCGCACAAUUGUUGUUUUUGAACAAGUGCCCCUGUUAGUUUUACUCUGUAAAUAAAGAUGUGCUCCGAGCUGACAAUUCA
This is a long non-coding RNA of Salmo salar (Atlantic salmon), 1617 nucleotides long. RefSeq lists it as uncharacterized. Lineage: Eukaryota; Metazoa; Chordata; Actinopteri; Salmoniformes; Salmonidae. The record is from RefSeq and is a predicted model, not a curated record.